GGGACAACAGUUGGAAACGACUGCUAAUACCGCAUAAGCCCACGGAUUCGCAUGGAUCUGCGGGAAAAGGAUUUAUUCGCUCUAGGAUGGACUCGCGUCCAAUUAGCUAGUUGGUGAGGUAACGGCCCACCAAGGCGACGAUUGGUAGCCGGACUGAGAGGUUGAAUGGCCACAUUGGGACUGAGACACGGCCCAGACUCCUACGGGAGGCAGCAGUGGGGGAUAUUGCACAAUGGGGGAAACCCUGAUGCAGCGACGCCGCGUGGAGGAAGAAGGUUUUCGGAUUGUAAACUCCUGUCGUUAGGGACGAUAAUGACGGUACCUAACAAGAAAGCACCGGCUAACUACGUGCCAGCAGCCGCGGUAAAACGUAGGGUGCAAGCGUUGUCCGGAAUUACUGGGUGUAAAGGGAGCGCAGGCGGACCGGCAAGUUGGAAGUGAAAACUAUGGGCUCAACCCAUAAAUUGCUUUCAAAACUGCUGGCCUUGAGUAGUGCAGAGGUAGGUGGAAUUCCCGGUGUAGCGGUGGAAUGCGUAGAUAUCGGGAGGAACACCAGUGGCGAAGGCGACCUACUGGGCACCAACUGACGCUGAGGCUCGAAAGCAUGGGUAGCAAACAGGAUUAGAUACCCUGGUAGUCCAUGCCGUAAACGAUGAUUACUAGGUGUUGGAGGAUUGACCCCUUCAGUGCCGCAG
RNAcentral lists this ribosomal RNA (695 nucleotides) under uncultured bacterium. Its description in RNAcentral is "bacterial SSU rRNA". It matches the Rfam family "Bacterial small subunit ribosomal RNA", at positions 140 to 851 of the family's 1533-position model. The record is from RNAcentral.